RNAcentral lists this ribosomal RNA (497 nucleotides) under uncultured bacterium. RNAcentral's name for it is "partial 16S ribosomal RNA". It matches the Rfam family "Bacterial small subunit ribosomal RNA", at positions 28 to 507 of the family's 1533-position model. The record is from RNAcentral.
GAUGAACGCUGGCGGCGUGCCUAAUACAUGCAAGUCGAGCGAACAGACGAGGAGCUUGCUCCUCUGACGUUAGCGGCGGACGGGUGAGUAACACGUGGAUAACCUACCUAUAAGACUGGGAUAACUUCGGGAAACCGGAGCUAAUACCGGAUAAUAUAUUGAACCGCAUGGUUCAAUAGUGAAAUACGGUUUUGCUGUCACUUAUAGAUGGAUCCGCGCCGCAUUAGCUAGUUGGUAAGGUAACGGCUUACCAAGGCAACGAUGCGUAGCCGACCUGAGAGGGUGAUCGGCCACACUGGAACUGAGACACGGUCCAGACUCCUACGGGAGGCAGCAGUAGGGAAUCUUCCGCAAUGGGCGAAAGCCUGACGGAGCAACGCCGCGUGAGUGAUGAAGGUCUUCGGAUCGUAAAACUCUGUUAUUAGGGAAGAACAAAUGUGUAAGUAAAUAUGCACGUCUUGACGGUACCUAAUCAGAAAGCCACGGCUAACUACGUG